RNAcentral lists this long non-coding RNA (810 nucleotides) under Ictidomys tridecemlineatus (thirteen-lined ground squirrel). RNAcentral's name for it is "lncRNA (ENSSTOG00000030304.1)". Lineage: Eukaryota; Metazoa; Chordata; Mammalia; Rodentia; Sciuridae. The record is from RNAcentral.
UCCCUUGCAUUCCCUGUGGGCUGGAGCUGUUGGGGUCUUGCUGCAGAACAUAGUUGCUUGGAGAAAGGAGGGAAAGACAGAAGCUGCAGGCGAAACCCCAACAUUGAAUUCCCAGCAGAAACAAGGCAUUUAUGCGCAGUAAUUGCCUGUAGGUCAGUAGAUCCUUAAACAGCAUGAAGGCUCCCAAAAGAUACACAGAGCCAGGAGUCGUGGCCGAUCUCUCAUUGUAUCCUUGCUGGGUCUUGCCGAGUGCUUGGUCCAUAGGAAGAGCUAAAAUGGUAUUGAUUUUGCUGGAUGUGUUGUUCGUGGAUUGUUUAAGAAGCAGUUGGAGAUGCAGAGCUGAGGCUCAAGAUAGAAGCUGCGAAACCUUCACGUGUGAAUGAAAAAUACAUGUCUAAGCGAAACGGAGAAUUUUAAGAAAACAAGGGAUGAGUGAGAAAGACUUAAGAAAUGUCACAUUUAGAGGUUAGAAAGAUUAGAAGGAUAAUUCUGAAGAAUGACUUGUUAUGCAUAAUCCUAUACAAUAUGUAAAUAUAUACAAGAUUACAUAGAAUUGAAGGAAUAAAUUGCAUAAUGAUGGAAAUCCUCUCCCCUUUCUUGGCAUACCUGGGAUAUUUCUUGGCCCAGAUCAUUUGGUCUCCCCAUGGAGUUAGAUUUAAGAGAGAACUGCAUGCAGCAUCUGAAUUUGUGUAUUAAAAAUAGGUGCACUAUUACAUUUAGCUCUCUAUAUUGAUUUAAGGGGGAAAGCUAUGUUCUUGCUAAGUAAAAUCAUUCCUUUAAAAACUACUAUUCAAACUUGCUUGGUCCACA